AGUCCAUUGGUCCAAUGGUCAGGAUGCGCGACUGUCUAUCGUGCGGUGAGGGUUCGAUUCCCUUAUGGACUG
Molecule: transfer RNA, 72 nt
Filed under: Clostridia bacterium
Lineage: Bacteria; Bacillati; Bacillota; Clostridia
Description: tRNA-Asp
Rfam family: tRNA
About the family: Transfer RNA (tRNA) molecules are approximately 80 nucleotides in length.
Source: RNAcentral